Molecule: ribosomal RNA, 267 nt
Filed under: Vibrio parahaemolyticus
Lineage: Bacteria; Pseudomonadati; Pseudomonadota; Gammaproteobacteria; Vibrionales; Vibrionaceae
Description: partial 16S ribosomal RNA
Rfam family: Bacterial small subunit ribosomal RNA
Source: RNAcentral
AAAUUGAAGAGUUUGAUCAUGGCUCAGAUUGAACGCUGGCGGCAGGCCUAACACAUGCAAGUCGAGCGGAAACGAGUUAUCAGAACCUUCGGGGGACGAUAACGGCGUCGAGCGGCGGACGGGUGAGUAAUGCCUAGGAAAUUGCCCUGAUGUGGGGGAUAACCAUUGGAAACGAUGGCUAAUACCGCAUGAUGCCUACGGGCCAAAGAGGGGGACCUUCGGGCCUCUCGCGUCAGGAUAUGCCUAGGUGGGAUUAGCUAGUUGGUG